This 417-nucleotide long non-coding RNA is filed under the name Androctonus crassicauda. The record is from RNAcentral. Lineage: Eukaryota; Metazoa; Arthropoda; Arachnida; Scorpiones; Buthidae.
AUCAAACACUCGGUUAGUCAAGGGAUAUCUAUUUACAGAAACAGAAGGGUUCAUAAUAGCAAUACAAGACCAGUUAAUAAACACGAAAAGCUACAGAAAAUACGUAAUGAAGGACAGCACAUUGACAAACGACAUUUGUAGGAAAUGCCAGUUAGCACCCAAAACGAUUCGACACAUAAUGUCGGGUUGCAAGCUGCUUGCACAAACAGAUUAACACAGACACAAUCAAGUAGCAAACAUAAUACAACAAAAGCUUGCAACCAAACACAAAUUAAUAAACAUACCCACACCAUAUUACAAAUACAUACCAGACACAAUCUUAGAAAACUUGUCACACAAGAUAUACUAUGACAGAACAAUCUUAACAGACAAAACCUUUACAUCACAACAGACCAGACAUCACUCUCAUAGACAAGC